UACAGAGGUCCCAAGCGUUGUUCGGAUUCACUGGGCGUAAAGGGUGCGUAGGCGGUAGGGUAAGUCGGAUGUGAAAUCUCCGAGCUUAACUCGGAAAUGGCAUUGGAAACUACCUUGCUAGAGGAUUGGAGGGGGGACUGGAAUACUUGGUGUAGCAGUGAAAUGCGUAGAUAUCAAGUGGAACACCAGUGGCGAAGGCGAGUCCCUGGACAAUUCCUGACGCUGAGGCACGAAAGCUAGGGGAGCAAACAGG
This 253-nucleotide ribosomal RNA is filed under the name uncultured bacterium. Its description in RNAcentral is "partial 16S ribosomal RNA". It matches the Rfam family "Bacterial small subunit ribosomal RNA", at positions 524 to 776 of the family's 1533-position model. The record is from RNAcentral.